UCGUAACAAGGUUUCCGUAGGUGAACCUGCGGAAGGAUCAUUAGUGAAUUUAAAAAAUACAGAAUUGGAUUGAAAAAUCCAAAUUCUUAUUUCUUUAUUCUUCUCUUCCACUGUGAAAUUUUAAACUAUUCGGGCGGCCUUUUGGCCGGUCGAGGUUUAGAGAUGGGACUGAGUGAAAAAAAAUUGUUGGGGAGUGCCUCCACUUUCAAGUGGAGCGGACGAUCUGCAGUUUCAAUUCUUCUGUUCUCUGAUCUAGCCGAAUUACCCAAUUUUUAGAGACAAUGUUAAAUUUGAAUGUGUUUUUUUAUUAAACAAAUUAAAACUUUCAGUGACGGAUCUCUUGGCUCUCGCAUCGAUGAAGAACGCAGUAAAUCGCGAUACGUAAUGUGAAUUGCAGAAAUAUGUGAAUCAUCGAAUCUUUGAACGCAUCUUGCGCUCUGGGGUACUCCUCAGAGCAUGCCUGUUUGAGUGUCUUUUAAUUCUCAUCUCAUAAUUUUUUAUUAAUUUAAAAUAAUUAUAGGUGGAUCGUGGCUGUUUUGACGACUAACCUCGUCUCAGCUGAAAUAUAGAAAGCGACGUCUAAAAUUCAGAGUAAUAAGAUGUUAACGUCGGCGUGAUAAGUAAAUUACGCAGUCAGUUUUCUGUCUAUCUCUCUGGUGUUCGCUACGAAUUACUAUAGUUUUGUUUUCAACAUUUGACCUCAAAUCAGGUAGGACUACCCGCUGAACUUAAGCAUAUCA
This 740-nucleotide unclassified non-coding RNA is filed under the name Tritirachium oryzae. RNAcentral describes it as "sequence contains 18S rRNA gene, ITS1, 5.8S rRNA gene, ITS2, 28S rRNA gene". The stretch from base 321 to 474 matches the Rfam family "5.8S ribosomal RNA". The record is from RNAcentral. Lineage: Eukaryota; Fungi; Basidiomycota; Tritirachiomycetes; Tritirachiales; Tritirachiaceae.